AUUGUUGUAGCAACUCUGAAAACAGUCCGAGAUUUUUGACAGUGUAAAUAGACUUCACAGUCCCAGAUUUUUGACAACUCUAAAUGGCCUCUCUAAAUGGCCAUCAAGCAAUGAAAUUUGGUCAAUAUGACAAGGAGUCUCUAUGACAAGUGGCAUUACUUCACAGUAGUCUGAAGAAGUUUGAUUUAACAUAGCGCGCGUGCACACACACACACUCAGGGAGGCAUUAGUUCACAAGUUACAUAGGUUCAGACUUGAAGCAUCAAAAUGUACUCCUGUAGGUUAGCAGGAAGAGCUUACAUAUGAUCCAUAUGGCAAGGGUGACUUGAUGCCAUUAUGAAGACCUCGCCGUCGGCACCACACAGCCUCCCUGAAGGCACCGUACAAAGAACUUAGCAAGCAUAGGCCCCUCUCCAGAAGGCAGAUUGUAGUAUACUGCCUGAAUCUAAACAUUAUUAUUUAUCUACUGCUAUUACAUAUACCCCCUAGAUUAGAUAUGUAUUUUUCUGCACAGAGCAUUUCCUUUGAUUUUAAAAAUCGCCGAGGCACAUACGAACUAAAAUUUUCCAAGUAAAAACAGAGAAGGGCCACCACAAAUAUCAAUUGACCUGGGCAAGUGCUCACAGACCACCGUUGGAGCCAGCGUCACUCGGCGAGCCUGGCGACCCGUGAACUUGGAGCUGUUUGUCGGCCAUCAUAACCUAAACAGGACAGAUGGAUCCAAGAGCCACCCCAGAUGAGUUAAGAAAGAAAAGUGAGCUUUGGGUAUAAUCGUGUAUAGACGCGAAGCAAUCUGGUAAGGCAAACCAAAACUCGUGGAAGAAAUCGAAACAGAGGAUGUACCCACCUUGUGAGAGGAAGAAUCAAUCACACCAGAUCCAGUCCCUUGCAAGCCGAAGACGAGGACGACGCGGCAACCUGAGACCAAAGGCCAACCUUAACCCUAAUCAAAAUGUAUUUCACAAAACCAAGCAGAAAAUCAAGAGCCCAACUGAUGGACAACCAUUUCUCAUUUUUGAGACAUCACAACAGUUGGCCACAUCGUUAAUUCAUAAAACGGAAGAAAUCUCCUUAAUAUUUUAGUUCAUGACAUAAUAGAACUACCAGCAAGUUACUGACACUUGACUAAUAACUGCACCUUAGAGAUAUAUAAUUCCACCAUUUUAUUAACAAAUAAAAUUGAACUCCCUACAUGUUAUCUGGUUGAGCUAAGCCUAGAACAUGGAAUUGCAACUUUUGCGCACACAAAUUGAGAAGAACAUAAGAUGAUGUCUGGGUGAUGGACAUAAAACAAGUUUAAAAGCUAACAAUGCUAAGGUACCAGACACAUGAACUAUGCUCUAACAAACAUUCUGAAAACACCUAUAAGCGUGAACGGUAAGCAAAGAACACUCCUAUCAAAACAGUGUACCAAAAUUUGCAAUAAAUCAAAUGUGUUCAAGCAACCAGAGGGCGAUCUUAAUUGUAUAAACAUGGUGUCAAGACUCACCAAGGGGAACAUGUGGCGUCAAUCGAGGUGAAGAAAGAAACAUCACCAGUUCAGUUAGCAUGAGCCGUAAGCAUAGAGCACUCAUCUUGGCUGUUAGAGACGACAAAAUAGAGAGGUUAACUAUAAGUAGAGGAAACAAUUAUGUAGCAUAAGAACAUGCUUUCUUUGAGAUUCCAAAUCUGUUUUUUGUGGCAAUACAAUUCUAAGGCCGUAAAUAAAAAAUAUUAUACUAUUGUCUGGUCAAAUCAUAAGGAAAGAACGACUAUUAUUGAUUAGAGUUUUUUUAAUUAGGCAAAGCACUACAACACUGGAUCCUAAGCUACAGUUGACGCAUACAAAGCUAUAAGUGUCUGUUCUUUUCAUAUAUAAACAACCUUUAGUAUCUCAACCAGAACCAAAGCAAAACAAAAAACAUGGUUAAGUAACCAGCAAAGGAAGAAUGAACCUUUUGGAAUUUUAAAGUAGCAAGACAUGAAAAGUUCUUUUUUUUUCCUUCAAUAUUACACACAUCAGGGGAGGUAGCUGCAGUUUUUAUUGCAUAGUGGGCUCAGAUUUGCCUUUCCUCGAUCAUAUAACCUACCCCCAUCAUCUCUUAUCACCAGAUCGAUCUGUUUAUACAGUAGAGCUGCCCUGGUUAUCACUCAACAAGAAUGGCCAUCCAAGGACAACAAGUAUCACAGGAUCAAAAAGGAUUCUAGAGACAAGAGGGAGGAUCCAACUUGAUACCCAGUGGUGCCUCGAUUGCUCAAAGGCACACUAAUUCCAGCCAACUUAAUCAUCAUCGCCCUAGCACGAACACCACUUGAGCAUAAAUAAGUAACACCUUUAAAUACAAAUAAAAAAUGGUUCAGGGUUCAUUGCAUAGCCGGCACGGACACCAUUGCCGGCGCCGCUGAUAUGCCGCCCUCCUCCGUGGCCGCUGCCGCCAUCGCCAUGGGAACCACCUGCGUGGGAGGGAGGGAGGCAGCUGCAAGAGCGAGUGAGAGAGGAGGCGGCAGCUAGGUUUUCAUCGCAGGAAGCCGCGGUCAUUUUAUACCCCCCCCCCCAAGCAAAAUGACCUAGAUGCCCUCAUGGGGGCACGGUAUUUACAUUCUGUUGCCAUUGGAAUUUUAUCCGACGGCCGAAGUUGAUCGGUAAAUUUCCAACGACCCACAGUGAUUUGGAUCGAGAUCCGACGGCCUGUAUCGCGAGGAGAUUUCGAUCCGACGGUCCAGAAUCCAAACGCACGGGAGAGCUCCAUUUCGGUUCAGACUCUAACAAGGGGAAACGCACGGGAGAGCUCCAUUUCGGUUCAGACUCUAACAAGGGGAUGCAUAGCGGGCUCAGAUUCACCUUUCCUCGAUCAUAUAACCUACCCCCGUCAUCUCUUACCACCAGAUCAAUCUGUUCAUACAGUGGAGCUGCCCUGGUUAUCACUCAACAAGAAUGACCAUCCAAGGACAACAACAAGUAUCAUAGGAUCAAAAAGGAUUCUAGAGACAAGAGGGAGGAUCCAACCUGAUACGCACAGGUGCCACGAUUGCUCAAAGGCACACUUAUUUCAGCCACGAUUAAUCAUCAUCGCCCUAGCACGAACGCCACUGAUCAAUCUAGCAAAUCCAGGAGCAUAGCUAUAGGACCG
RNAcentral lists this long non-coding RNA (3110 nucleotides) under Triticum aestivum (bread wheat). RNAcentral describes it as "long non-coding RNA (TAES_LNC001092)". Lineage: Eukaryota; Viridiplantae; Streptophyta; Magnoliopsida; Poales; Poaceae. The record is from RNAcentral.